CCUACGGGUGGCAGCAGUGGGGAAUCUUUCACAAUGGGGGAAACCCUGAUGCAGCGACGCCGCGUGCGUGAAGAAGGAUUUCGGUAUGUAAAGCUCUAUCAUCAGGGAAGAAAAUGACGGUAACUGAUUAAGAAGCCCCGGCUAACUACGUGCCAGCAGCCGCGGUAAUACGUAGGGGGCAAGCGUUAUCCGGAGUUACUGGGUGUAAAGUGAGCGUAGACGGGAGCACAAGUCAGGGGUGAAAUGCCGGGGCUUAACCCCGGAACUGCUUUCGAAACUGUGCAGCUAGAGUGCGGGAGAGGUAAGUGGAAUUCCUAGUGUAGCGGUGAAAUGCGUAGAUAUUAGGAGGAACACCAGUGGCGAAGGCGGCUUACUGGACUGUGACUGACGUUGAGGCUCGAAAGCGUGGGGAGCAAACAGGAUUAGAUACCCUGGUAGUC
Molecule: ribosomal RNA, 440 nt
Filed under: uncultured bacterium
Lineage: Bacteria
Description: partial 16S ribosomal RNA
Rfam family: Bacterial small subunit ribosomal RNA
Source: RNAcentral